AAACAUUCAUUCAUAUAUCACUCAAUUGUAAAUAGUACUGCACAGUAUUACUCUGUAUUUCUCAGAAGUAUUCCCCGUAAUUACCAGUAUUACACAGAUACUCCUAUUUUACUAUGUAGUAUUUCUCAAAGUUACUAGUACUAACUAUCGAUAAAUCACAAUUAUAGUAUUACUCUAAGGUAUUACCCACAUCCGCCAAUAUUACCUAAAUAUCAACAUAGCAUUUCCCAAUGUUACUAGUACUGUCCACAGUUCACAAUUGCAUUAUUACCCAAUUAGAUCGGUAUUACGAAAUGGAAUACUUACCACAUUUGCGAUGUCCUCGUCUAUGGUCCUCUCCUCCACGGGUUUUGCCACUAUCACGUCCUUGUCUCUCUCGUCCUCGUUUCCCUCCUCCUCCACGGACUUUUCCACAUUGACGUCCUCGUCGCUCGCGGAGCUCCUCUCCUCCUCCUCCUCGAUAACGGCUAGGCCGUCAUCUUGUCUCUCCACCUCUUCCACGGGAUUAGCACACGCGAGUUCUUUGUUUGUCUCCGUCUCCUCUGAAUCGGAAUCGGAGCCCAAGGUUCGGCUACUCUUCCCUGAUUCUUCUUCUUCACUUGCUUCUUCUUUUUCAUUUUCAUCUUCCACCUCAUCAGUUUGCAUAUUCUCUUGAAUUUCUUCAGUAGGAAUAUGCUUCAAAGCAUCAUAAAACGUAGAAUCAUCAAGCAUCGGGCUCUCUGUCGUUGGAGCCGUCGUUGGAGCCGUUGUCGUUGGAGCCGCUGUCGUUGGAGCCGCAUUGGUUGCCAUCGCCGUCGCAGUCGUUUGUGCCGGCGCCUGCUCCUCAGCCGGCACUUUCUCUUUAUCUUUCUUCGCCGACGCCUGAACCUUCGCUUUCUUCGCCGGCACCUUCUCCUUCACUUUCUCCGCCGACGCCUUAACUUUCUCUUUCUUCAUCGGCGCCGACGCUUCUAUCUCCUUUCUUUUCCCUACCUCCUCCACGCGUCUUAGGCGGCAUGACUGAUUUCGAAUCGGAAAUAGAACGGAAAUACUGGUGAAAGGAAGAAGAACGGUCGAUUGAAUUUAAAGAAAUAUGGAAUGUUGCGGUUAAUUUCAGCGGUUACUAAGGAGAAGAAGAAGAAAAAUCGAAAACGGUUGUAAUGAGAAAAAGAAUGAAAUUCGAAUAAAGAGUAAAGGUUCCCUAGGCCCUGGAAAUAUUAGGUUUUUUUUUGGAUUUUCAAAUAAAGAGUAAAGGUGGUUCGGGUGGUUUGGUUCGGAAACGAACCAUGGUUUUUCUGGUAAUUAAUAGGUUCAGAUGGGGAUAUACUAGUAAUAUCCAUAUAU
RNAcentral lists this small RNA (1323 nucleotides) under Arabidopsis thaliana (thale cress). Its description in RNAcentral is "ATSL278720". Lineage: Eukaryota; Viridiplantae; Streptophyta; Magnoliopsida; Brassicales; Brassicaceae. The record is from RNAcentral.